CUAAGACGAGCGCUGACAAGGUGCUUAAAGCCGACCAUUAUGCAAUGACACACCUACAUAAUUCUGAUCAGGAGGAAUUGGAGGUUUUUCUUAGUGUGAUGUAGUGCUAGGAUUUGUCUUUACUGCAUGACAUCACCUUCAAUAACAGAUGGCACAGACCAGCACAUAGCGCCUCUGAAUGCCUAUCCAGGCUCUGGUGAACAGAAUGAACUCUGCACAGGAUGAUUGGAAAAGCAGCCUGACCAAAUCUACUGCUGGCUGUUUACACCUCCCCACCAUCCAGUUAUGCUCUGUAAUGCAGACCUUUCCAGCCAGCACUCCUGUUUAAUUCUGUGCUUAUCAACUUAUCAGAUUUUUAAUUCUUGCGUCUAUGUCUAAGUGUGUGUGUAAUGUACUGCAAUUUGGUAGGAAUAUCUGACUGUUUUAACUUUGUUGGGACAUUUGGCUGGUCCCCAUGAGGAAGACUGCUUUUUUUAACUGCAGCGUUUACUUGAAAAACUAAAAGUGCCAAAAGGAUUCUUUGAAUUAAAUUAAAUUCAAUUUUAUUUGUAUAGCACAUUUAACAAUGGAUAUUGUCACAAAGCAGCUUUACAGAAAUAAAUACAUUCAAGCUAUACAUUUUAAAUGUAUGAAUUUAUCCCUAAUGAGCAAGCCAGGGGCAAUGGUGGCAAGGAAAAACUCCCUGAGAUGAUAUGAGGAAGAAACCUUGAGAGGAACCAGACUCAAAAGGGAACCCAUCCUCAUCUGGGUGACAACAGCUAGUGCAAUUAUAAAUAAAUCCCUUCUAUAACUGUGUACCACAUGGUCAAAUAGUGCAAUUGUGUAACCAGGAAAAUUCAUUACAGUUUUCACAUGAAAUCUGUUUGUUGAACCUAUCCACUGUUCACUGAUGGAGACUUGAGUGCAAAACUAUUUGUGGCAAUUGCUGUCCUAAAGCUAUCAUAGCAAUUGUAGUCCUAAGCCAUCAUUGCAUAACUGUUCAUAUUAAUUGUGGUACAAAGCCAUCUUCAUGGUUUGU
Pangasianodon hypophthalmus (striped catfish) is the source of this 1018-nucleotide long non-coding RNA. RefSeq lists it as uncharacterized. The record is from RefSeq and is a predicted model, not a curated record. Lineage: Eukaryota; Metazoa; Chordata; Actinopteri; Siluriformes; Pangasiidae. The transcript is spliced from 3 exons.